RNAcentral lists this long non-coding RNA (491 nucleotides) under Coturnix japonica (Japanese quail). RNAcentral describes it as "lncRNA (ENSCJPG00005008220.1)". The record is from RNAcentral. Lineage: Eukaryota; Metazoa; Chordata; Aves; Galliformes; Phasianidae.
CUUCUUUCAGUUUUUCUUUUGGCCAAGAGAAGACCUGCCUCUCAGUGCAAGAAAAACUCUGUCAACAGUGGAAAGUCCCAGGUCUACUUGAUCUUGUCCAUUUGGCACUGCUGGAGGAAUAACAAGUUUCUUCCCAUCAUGCACCAUUCUGGGAUACAUCAUGACAGAGAAAUCUCAAAGCCCAGGUCAAUUAUAACAGAAGAUGUGUAGCACCUCUGCCCCCAUCGUGUCUUCUGGGGAUCUACCUGGCAAAAUGAUAUAAAACUAUUUCUGAAGACAUCCCAUGAUCUGGCGCUACUCGGAACUAAGUCACCAGCAAAAUGAAGAAGCUUGCUUUGGAGUUUCCCUUGGGACUGGUUGAUGGGGCAACUCUGAGAGCAGCACCCCAGGAUCACAUGGGACGUACUUUUACCUCUUCACCCCCAAAACUGUUUUGCCUGUUCUGCACUCAAGGUGAAAGCAUCUGUAACUCAGGGUACUUUAUGCUCUGA